Nomascus leucogenys (northern white-cheeked gibbon) is the source of this 85-nucleotide microRNA precursor. The record is from Ensembl. Lineage: Eukaryota; Metazoa; Chordata; Mammalia; Primates; Hylobatidae.
UAUUAGGUUGGUGCAAAAGUAAUUGCAGCUUUUACUGUUACUUUUAAUGUCAAAAACUGCAAUUACUUUUUCAUCAACCUAAUAU